This 220-nucleotide ribosomal RNA is filed under the name uncultured bacterium. Its description in RNAcentral is "partial 16S ribosomal RNA". It matches the Rfam family "Bacterial small subunit ribosomal RNA", at positions 328 to 544 of the family's 1533-position model. The record is from RNAcentral.
ACGCUCGACACCUACGGGGGGCAGCAGUGAGGAAUAUUGGUCAAUGGGCGCUAGCCUGAACCAGCCAAGUAGCGUGAAGGAUGAAGGCUCUAUGGGUCGUAAACUCCUUUUAUAUAAGAAUAAAGUGCAGUAUGUAUACUGUUUUGUAUGUAUUAUAUGAAUAAGGGUCGGCUAACUCCGUGCUAGCAGCCGCGGUAAUCUGAGGCGGGCGUGGCAAGGC